GGAACCUGCGAAGCUCAGAACCGCGGCAGUGGGCCGGAGACUCAGCGGGCCAGGUGCUGUCACAGUUCUUCUGGUCUGAGUGUGUGACUCUCCUGAGAGUCGGAGGAGAUGGCUGCAGGAGCAGUGGCUGGACCCAUCCCUGUGCUGUGCUUGGGCGUUGACAAAUCUGCUGCUACUUUAGUCGGUAGCAGUGGUUUGGCAGUGAUUUGCCUUAAUUGCCAUAUGCGGGGCAGUGGUGCAUGUGGUCAGCAUCCCCCAACUCACAUCCAUGAAGAUUUCUGGUGCCAUGGCAACAUCCCCUACUGCUUUGAACGUGAAGACCUUCAGCCAUUUUCGAUUCACCCCAAAUCUGAAGAUCUUUAGCCAUGUCUGGUCCAACUCCCUUGUGUUUGCAAGUCCAAACAACAGGUCUCAGC
Molecule: long non-coding RNA, 416 nt
Filed under: Homo sapiens (human)
Lineage: Eukaryota; Metazoa; Chordata; Mammalia; Primates; Hominidae
Description: HSALNT0187252
Source: RNAcentral